RNAcentral lists this ribosomal RNA (253 nucleotides) under uncultured bacterium. Its description in RNAcentral is "partial 16S ribosomal RNA". It matches the Rfam family "Bacterial small subunit ribosomal RNA", at positions 524 to 776 of the family's 1533-position model. The record is from RNAcentral.
UACGUAGGGUGCAAGCGUUGUCCGGAAUUACUGGGCGUAAAGGGCUCGUAGGCGGCCAACUAAGUCCGACGUGAAAUCCCCAGGCUCAACCUGGGAACUGCGUCGGAUACUGGAUGGCUUGAAUUCGGGAGAGGGAUGCAGAAUUCCAGGUGUAGCGGUGAAAUGCGUAGAUAUCGGGAGGAACACCAAUGGCGAAGGCAGCUCGCUGGGACGUUACUGACGCUGAGACGCGAAAGCGUGGGGAGCAAACAGG